GACAAGCUGGUUCUUCUGGAAAGAGAGAACUGCCUACAGCCAUAUGCACCCCCAAUCUGUUCUCUACAAACAUGUCUUGGCCUUCUCCACACGUACCUCGUGGGUGCUGGGGGCAGCCACUGCGGAUGGACCAUCCAGUUAGGCCUCAGGUGGAAGACAAAAAGAAGGAGAAAGAGAGACACUGAGAGCUCCCGUCUGCUGGGCUGUACCUCAGAUGCCUGGGAAUGCUGUCCAGAUCUCCCACGUGGCUGGCAGGGACCAGUUACUGGGGCCAUCACUGCUGCCUCCCAGGAUCUGCAUUAGCAAGAAGCUUGGAUUCAGGAGCCAGAGCUGAAAAUCAACCUACAUAUUCUGAUAUGCAAAGACUGAGCUGUCCCUCCCAGAAUGCACAGAGACACACUGGAGCAAUCCUGAUAAAGAGAUACAGAAAUGGUGACACACAAAACCAGCAGCUAAUGAGUCUCUUGAUGAACCUGACCUUUUGAAGAAGCCAAAUUUGCUGCAUUGAACUGUGCUGUGCUUAAGAACUGUUGUACUUGUGCUUAAAGAUGUUAACACAUCUUAGUUGAGACAAAAAAAUCAGAAAGUAUAUUGUUCCCAUGAGACAACCUGAUCCAAUAGAAAGAGGAUGAUGUAUUAGACAUGUGAGGUAAGCAGAAUAUGCUAAAUUCCUUAAGGUGCUCAUUAAUAUAUUCCAAAG
This 700-nucleotide long non-coding RNA is filed under the name Oryctolagus cuniculus (rabbit). RNAcentral describes it as "lncRNA (ENSOCUG00000037968.1)". The record is from RNAcentral. Lineage: Eukaryota; Metazoa; Chordata; Mammalia; Lagomorpha; Leporidae.